GACGAACCGGCCAAACGUUAUUCGGAUUUAUUGGGCUUAAAGGGUGCGUAGGCGGUGUGGUAAGUUGGGUGUGAAAUCUCUCGGCUCAACCGAGGAAUUGCGCCCAAUACUGCCGUGCUCGAGGGAGACAGAGGUGAGCGGAACUGAUGGUGGAGCGGUGAAAUGCGUUGAUAUCAUCAGGAACACCGGUGGCGAAAGCGGCUCGCUAGGUCUCUACUGACGCUGAGGCACGAAAGCUAGGGGAGCGAAUAGG
This 253-nucleotide ribosomal RNA is filed under the name uncultured bacterium. RNAcentral's name for it is "partial 16S ribosomal RNA". It matches the Rfam family "Bacterial small subunit ribosomal RNA", at positions 524 to 776 of the family's 1533-position model. The record is from RNAcentral.